RNAcentral lists this ribosomal RNA (253 nucleotides) under uncultured bacterium. RNAcentral describes it as "partial 16S ribosomal RNA". It matches the Rfam family "Bacterial small subunit ribosomal RNA", at positions 524 to 776 of the family's 1533-position model. The record is from RNAcentral.
UACGUAGGUGACAAGCGUUGUCCGGAAUUACUGGGCGUAAAGCGUGCGCAGGCGGCGCGUUAAGACAGGUGUGAAAGCCCCGAGCUUAACUUGGGAAUUGCGCUUGUGACUGGCGUGCUGGAGUGUGGCAGAGGGAGGUGGAAUUCCACGUGUAGCAGUGAAAUGCGUAGAGAUGUGGAGGAACACCGAUGGCGAAGGCAGCCUCCUGGGCCAGCACUGACGCUCAUGCACGAAAGCGUGGGGAGCAAACAGG